Molecule: long non-coding RNA, 881 nt
Organism: Gadus macrocephalus (Pacific cod)
Lineage: Eukaryota; Metazoa; Chordata; Actinopteri; Gadiformes; Gadidae
Exons: 8
Source: RefSeq, a predicted model, not a curated record
GUGUAAAAGUCUUCUGAUGACUCGAAGAGCGGGUGAGGGCGGAGCUCGUUCGUCAACUUGACCGGUAGGAAACGGGUUAAAGAGGGGGAGAGCCUCGGAGUGAACGACACAACCGCGCGGUGCACGCCGCGCUUCAACCGCCCUUUCCGCACUCACCAACACAUCAAUGAGCAGGCGCGCUCACGCGCCUCCGUUACACACACCUGCUGGCGGGAACGGGAGCCAGGACCGCGUCUGUUCUCCUCCACCGGCGAACCGACGACCAGCAGAGGAGUUGACCACCGAGGAUAACCCUACGCUACAAUUCUUCCAUCUCCAUCAGUGGACUCAAACUGAGAGGGGAAAGCCAGCGAGUGCAAAUCACAGUCGGCCUUUCCCCUGCCCACCUAAAACGUGUGUCACUUCAGCUUUAACCUCCAAAGCGACACGAAGACCAGGUGAAAAACAAGGCAGAAAACCAGGCCAACGCUUCUGACCAGCAAACGAGGGGGAGGCGGUGCCACCACCUGUAUCCAGCCUCCGCUGCAGGAGCUUGGAGAGACUGCUCACAGUAUUGCGGAUAAGUGAAACCCCACAGGAGGUUUUUGUUCGUGGCUUCAACAAGUUCCUUAUUUUGGCGACGAGGGUGCCUGCGAUGUCCUUGGUGACUUGAUUUAGGCGAAGGCAGUUUAUGGCGCCCUGGACUACUUCUUGAUCUGGAGCGCACACCAUUGUCCAGGGUUGUUUCUUGCUGUGUGAACCAGAACGUGACCUGUGAUGCCCUAACCCCCGGCCGUCUUCUGCAUCGCUACACCCCCUACAGCACAGCCCGAGCAGAGGGGCCAUCGGCCGGACCGCCUGGCACACUGAUCUAGGGGCCAAACGGACACUCCGGUAGGUUC